AAGUUAGCCAAAGCAGCCCAGGGCCGCCGCCCAGCGCCCCCCAGCCCCGAGGAGAGCCGUCGCGACCGGGGGCUGCCUGGGCAAGGGCGGGGCGAGAGCGCAGAACGCCUGCUCUCGGACAGAUCUGGGGACCCUUCACCUGCCUCUACUACUGCAAAUGAUUGGAUAUUCGUCUGCCUUGGCUCUUCCCUAAUGUGUGGAACUAAUUUUGUUCACUCUGUUUCAUGCUGGACCUGGCCUGAAAAUGGGCCCUUACAUUGUCUUUGCACUUUCCAACUUGCCAAGUUUCUGAAAGAAGGACCAAAGUAAUGCCAAGAACUCCCAGAUGAAGAGGACCUUCCUUAGACCUAUAACAGAUUCACUACUUGACUUCAGAGGGACGUUUCAGCUAAUUCUCAGGAAAAGGUCAAAACAGGCCUGUGACUGUCCCUCGAAUACUGAAGGUAUAAACAAGCUUCUGGCUCCUCCAGGUCAAGCAGAGGAACACUUUUAUUAGAAUGAAGGGUUACUUCUUUGUUAUUCAGACACACACCCACACACAUCCUCUGUAGUCUCCCUAAUGAAAAACCUCAACAGAUGGAGAGCCUGAGCUCCCACGUCCGCAGGCUGAGAAGAUGCACUUCACUCAGGGGCCAGUGGGCUGGUACAGACUAGGGAAAGGAAAAGGGACAAAGGCUGCUAGUAUAGGUAAUCACUAUCUUUUAAUACUCCUAACACAUAGAAAUUUGAAAAAUCUUGUUCAGCAAUGUUAGCAGCCUCUGAAGCCUCGGAAACUAAUUUGGCUGAUGUGUCUCUGAUAGGGAGCUUAGGGCUGCACCGAGGGGAAACAUUCUCCUCCUGUAUUCUCUCCUCUCUCUCAUUUGAAAGCCUGUACAAAGAAAUGGUACAGGUGGAUGGUUAACUUAACGAUUCCAUCAGAGGCAGAUUUUUCUCUGUCAGGUUCCUGGAUGAGGUGGAGGUCUGAAAGCCAGGAGACAGAAUAUGU
RNAcentral lists this non-coding RNA (985 nucleotides) under Pongo abelii (Sumatran orangutan). The record is from RNAcentral. Lineage: Eukaryota; Metazoa; Chordata; Mammalia; Primates; Hominidae.